UCUUGCCGGGGAUCUCGCUGGAUAACUUGCUUUAGAGACCUAGCACCAUGGCGUCAGGCUGCAAGAUUGGCCCGUCCAUCCUCAACAGCGACCUGGCCAGUUUAGGGGCCGAGUGCCUUCGGAUGCUGGACUCUGGGGCCGAUUAUCUGCACCUGGAUGUAAUGGACGGGCAUUUUGUUCCCAACAUCACCUUUGGUCACCCUGUGGUAGAAAGCCUCCGAAAGCAGCUAGGCCAGGACCCUUUCUUUGACAUGCACAUGAUGGUGUCCAGGCCAGAACAGUGGGUAAAACCAAUGGCUGUAGCAGGAGCCAAUCAAUAUACUUUUCAUCUCGAGGCUACUGAGAACCCGGGGGCUUUGAUCAAAGACAUUCGGGAGAAUGGAAUGAAGGUUGGCCUUGCUAUCAAACCAGGAACUACAGUUGAGUAUUUGGCACCAUGGGCUAAUCAGAUAGAUAUGGCCUUGGUCAUGACAGUGGAACCUGGGUUUGGAGGGCAGAAAUUCAUGGAAGAUAUGAUGCCAAAGGUAAAAGAAGUAUUUGGUUCUGGGGUUCACUGGUUGAGGACCCAGUUCCCGUCUUUGGACAUUGAGGUUGAUGGUGGAGUAGGUCCUGACACCAUCGUUAAAUGCGCAGAGGCAGGAGCUAACAUGAUUGUAUCUGGCAGUGCCAUUAUGAGGAGUGAAGACCCCAGAUCUGUGAUCAACCUGUUAAGAAAUGUUUGCUCAGAAGCUGCCCAGAAGCGUUCUCUCGAUCGAUGAAACCACAAGGAGUCCAGUGUUUCUGCUUGUGAGAUCUCCUUUUUACUGGAAAACAAGAAUAUUGACUACCAAAUCGUACCACAGUUGAGGCAGUGCUGCUUUGCUGAGCAAUUAUUCAUUCCAGUGACUAAAAUCCAUUUUGCAGAAUGUUCCAAGAGGUUAGAAAUUGUCUAGCUUUACCCUGUAGCAAAACCAGAUGGCUGAGAAUAUUCUGCAACUAUGGAUUUUGACUCCAAGGAUACGUAUUUUAUUAAUCCAAGAAAGACCAGCGGAAAAGCCCGUCGUUCCCACCCCAAAGACUGAAAGAGAAAACGGUUUCAGUUAAGUUUCAACUAAUUUAAGUUCAUGUCUCAAUCUGUAGAUGUCAGUUUUCUAAUAACCAUUGUUCUGUUCUUUAGCACAUAAAAGUACAAAUUCUCAUUUGGUCCUGAGUAUCUAGCAACUCAAAAUGGAACGUACUAAGGAUUACUUAGGGAUCUUUGGGAAUUAUAUUUUUCACUUUGCCUCUUCCACGGAGAGGGACACGCUGCCAUUAGGGCACUGGUCUUCAUUUUCAGCCUAGGAGCACUUUGGGGAAGGCCCUUUAAAAGUGUUUGGCUCGUCUUCCUCAGUAUCUCCAUUUUCAUCCCAUCAUUAUUCCAGACGCCUAUUGACUUUUCUAUCUCUGUGCUUUCUAUGACUUGCCUAUUAAUUUCUAUUGUCUCCAUUCUCUUGAUUCUAGAUAUGGUUCUUCUUUUCCAACACCUGCUGAUGAAGAAAAGUACAAGAACUUUAUAGAUGUAGUGCUAGAAAACACUCCCAUUGGGGUUAAAACUGGAGAAAUGGGGAGACAAGUAAAAAUCUUUUAUAAGGGGAAGAGAAAUAUCUAACAUUUACUAUGUGCCAGGUGUCAUUCUGUUUAAUCCGAUUUGGUUUGUUAAUGAAAUUCUG
Non-coding RNA from Kogia breviceps (pygmy sperm whale), 1688 nucleotides. NCBI's taxonomy places the organism in Eukaryota, Metazoa, Chordata, Mammalia, Artiodactyla, Physeteridae. The record is from RefSeq and is a predicted model, not a curated record.